GACGUCCCUAGUUCGGAUUGUAGGCUGAAACUCGCCUACAUGAAGCUGGAAUUGCUAGUAAUCACAGGUCAGCAUACUGUGGUGAAUACGUUCCCGGGCCUUGUACACACCGCCCGUCACACCAUGAGAGUCGGGAACACCCGAAGUCCGUAGUCUAACCGCAAGGGGGGCGCGGCCGAAGGUGGGUCCGGUAAUUGGGGUGAAGUCGUAACAAGGUAAC
RNAcentral lists this ribosomal RNA (220 nucleotides) under uncultured bacterium. RNAcentral describes it as "partial 16S ribosomal RNA". It matches the Rfam family "Bacterial small subunit ribosomal RNA", at positions 1281 to 1500 of the family's 1533-position model. The record is from RNAcentral.